Non-coding RNA from Vicia faba (fava bean), 273 nucleotides. NCBI's taxonomy places the organism in Eukaryota, Viridiplantae, Streptophyta, Magnoliopsida, Fabales, Fabaceae. The record is from the annotation of a GenBank genome assembly.
AUGGUGGUAUCAAUAGGUAGAAGAAGAAAUAUAUGCUAUAGACGAAGUAUUGAUUGGAAAGUUCAGAGGGUUUACCGAUCGGAGUCCGUCCGAUGCGGCUUUAAUGGCGGCGAUGAUGAGAUAAAACCAGCGGGAGCUUCCGAAUUCCAGUUACGCAGUGAUGAAGGGUUUGGAGAUGGUUUGAAGCUGUUCGUGCUUGAAGGUGAUGGAGUUUUGUUGAAGGUGAAUGAGGAUGUGAAGUGGCUGCAAUUGUUGGUGAAGAAAGAUGAUUGA